Mauremys mutica (yellowpond turtle) is the source of this 532-nucleotide long non-coding RNA. RefSeq lists it as uncharacterized. The record is from RefSeq and is a predicted model, not a curated record. The transcript has 3 exons. NCBI's taxonomy places the organism in Eukaryota, Metazoa, Chordata, Testudines, Geoemydidae.
UAGGAGCACCUGCGUUGGGAGGCUCAAUGAGCCAGGUGCAGGCCUUCAAAUAGCUCUUGCAGCACUGCAAGCUCUAAAAUCCACAGAUCGCACCACUGCAGGAUGCUACCAGAUUUUCCCGUUACUCUGGGCUGCUGCUGCGCAAGGCGAUAGCUGAAAAUUGGAGGGAUUAUUUUUUGAGCAUUUGACUGAAAACUGUCACUGACAGAGGUGUCCUCUUCUUGAGCAAACUGAAGGCUCCUCCGGCAGGUCAAAGCCCUUUCACCAGGAUUCCAACCCUCUGUGCUGGCUUCUGUUACUCGGCCACUUGCUCCAUCUACUGGACUAAAGAAUACAAAUAUAAUAAUGCUGAAACAGACUCUCCUAGAUGGACCAGAGACACAGCAGAGGAUGGUCUGAUGCUAUUAUUUACAGCAUAAGGUCAGCAGUACCCAGAGCUGGAGCACAAUGUGAAAACAUUUUUAAAAUUCUAUACAAGAUUAAAUAAUUCAGGCAUAAUUCUGUAGUGGCAUAAAUCUGACUUUGGUGCAGG